GUGUAAUGACACAGAGAGCAGUGUGCUGGUUGAGACGAUUGAGGUGAGUUGAGUUAUAUUAUAUUUUCCAAUCAGAAGACAGAUUUACACGUACAAGACACACCCCCUCUCCCUACAUCGUUACAAACCUCUGUACGUUUCCUGUAAGACAGCAGACGCUUGAGUUAACUCCCCAAGUUCAGAUAAGGCCUUUAGCUCAGCGGACACACAAAACAAGAUUCAGCUAUCAUCAUCAUCAUCAUCAUCAUCAUCAUCAUCAUUAUCAUCAUUCAGUAGAGUUAACUCCCCAAGUUCAGAUAAGGCCUUUAGCUCAGCGGACACACAAAACAAGAUUCAGCUAUCAUCAUCAUCAUCAUCAUCAUCAUUAUCCUCAUUGUCAUCCUCCUCCUCCUCAUCAUCAUCAUCCUCAGUCACUCUUGACACAAGAAAGAAACAAUACAUUUCCAGUAUUUUACAGUUUGACACAUUUAACUGCAUGGUAAUAUAAUCAGAACUCUCUUUAAACAGUUACAGAACACUUCCCAACCCCCCGGGACUAAUAACCAGUUAACUAACCAAGUACUAACUAACCACCCUGGUUAACUAACCAAGUACUAACUAACCACCCUGGUUAACUAACCAAGUACUAACUAACCACCCUGGUUAACUAACCAAGUACAAACUAACUCCCCUGGUUAACUAACCAAGUACUAACUAACCACCCUGGUUAACUAACCAAGUACUAACUAACCACCCUGGUUAACUAACCAAGUAUGAACUAACCACCCUGGUUAACUAACCAAGUACUAACUAACCACCCUGGUUAACUAACCAAGUACUAACUAACCACCCUGGUUAACUAACCAAGUACUAACUAACCACCCUGGUUAAGUAUAAACAACAACAUCUCUGUUUGGCAGUGGUCAGAUAAUUCCUAGACAGCGUCUGAAAUCACACCCUAUUCCCUAUGAAGUGCACUACUUUCUACUGAGCCAGGGCCCUAUAGCAGGUCACUAUAGAGGGAAUGGGCCCUAUAGCAGGUCACUAUAGAGGGAAUGGGCCCUAUAGCAGGUCACUAUAGAGGGAAUGGGCCCUAUAGCAGGUCACUAUAGAGGGAAUGGGCCCUAUAGCAGGUCACUAUAGAGGGAAUGGGCCCUAUAGCAGGUCACUAUAGAGGGAAUGGGCCCUAUAGCAGGUCACUAUAGAGGGAAUGGGCCCUAUAGCAGGUCACUAUAGAGGGAAUGGGCCCUAUAGCAGGUCACUAUAGAGGGAAUGGGCCCUAUAGCAGGUCACUAUAGAGGGAAUGGGCCCUAUAGCAGGUCACUAUAGAGGGAAUGGGCCCUAUAGCAGGUCACUAUAGAGGGAAUGGGCCCUAUAGCAGGUCACUAUAGAGGGAAUGGGCCCUAUAGCAGGUCACUAUAGAGGGAAUGGGCCCUCCUUGGUCAAUAGCAGGUCACUAAAAGAGGGAAUGGGCCCUCCCUGGUCAAUAGCAGGUCACUAUAGAGGGAAUGGGCCCUCCCUGGUCAAUAGCAGGUCACUAUAGAGGGAAUGGUCCCUAUAGCAGGUCACUAUAGAGGGAAUGGGCCCUGGUCAAUAGCAGGUCACUAUAGAGGGAAUGGGCCCUGGUCAAUAGCAGGUCACUAUGGGGAAUGGGCCCUCUCUGGUCAAUAGCAGGUCACUAUGGGGAACGGGCCCUGGUCCCUGGAGCGAUAUCUAGAGGAUGUGUGGUUGGACCGGGUUGACAAGACUAUUGGAGAUGAGCCCUGGUGUGUCCGUGCGUUUCCAGUUGCAGUGAAUGCUAUUCCCGAGGUGUGGGGUUGUUUGGGGCUCUGUGGCACAAAAUGGCUGCCGUGUGUCUCCCCCGUAACGGAGGACACUGGACCCUGAACUCUGACCCUGCUUUGGCACAGUUUUACAGUAACGUAACAUGGUGUGUGAGGUGGUGGUGGUGACAGUACCCAAGGAGGAUACGUGUUUUCAGCCUCCCUCGUUGUAAUAGCACGAUGCUAACAUUUCACAACAGUUCUAAAUCCCUAACGGGAGAUCCCUAAAUCAAUACAAACAAAACAACAAUACCCUGAUUGAUCAUUAAACAGUAAGAAAGUCGAUCAGUUCGAUCAGUCGGUCAAAUAUUGAUCCCAGUAACAGUUGGGAGGUCAUUUGAUGGGUUGAUGGUGGGAAUGUAACUCAUUGAUUUGAUUAUCGAUUAGUUGAAAAAUCGAUCGAUUCAGCAUUUUUUUUGUGUUUGUUGUAGGAUUUCAUACACAUGGGGUCCUUCUGUUCUGUUUUGAGUAGAAGUUGUCUUUAACCGCUGAUCAGAGGUCAGAUCUCCGUAAUGGUUCAGGUUAAGACUAGGGGCAUGGGGAAUCUGAUCCUAGAUCUGUGUUUAGGUUAGAACAGUAGAUAUGGGUAGUUAAGACUAGGGGCAUGGGGAAUCUGAUCCUAGAUCUGUGUUUAGGUUUGAACAGUAGAUAUGGGUAGUUAAGACUAGCGGCAUGGGGAAUCUGAUCCUAGAUCUGUGUUUAGGUUAGAACAGUAGAUAUGGGUAGUUAAGACUAGGGGCAUGAGGAAUCUGAUCCUAGAUCUGUGUUUAGGUUAGAACAGUAGAUAUGGGUAGUUAAGACUAGGGGCAUGGGGAAUCUGAUCCUAGAUCUGUGUUUAGGUUUGAACAGUAGAUAUGGGUAGUUAAGACUAGGGGCAUGGGGAAUCUGAUCCUAGAUCUGUGUUUAGGUUAGAACAGUAGAUAUGGGUAGUUAAGACUAGGGGCAUGGGGAAUCUGAUCCUAGAUCUGUGUUUAGGUUUGAACAGUAGAUAUGGGUAGUUAAGACUAGGGGCAUGGGGAAUCUGAUCCUAGAUCUGUGUUUAGGUUAGAACAGUAGAUAUGGGUAGUUAAGACUAGGGGCAUGGGGAAUCUGAUCCUAGAUCUGUGUUUAGGUUAGAACAGUAGAUAUGGGUAGUUAAGACUAGGGGCAUGGGGAAUCUGAUCCUAGAUCUGUGUUUAGGUUAGAACAGUAGAUAUGGGUAGGGCCUCGGCUAUGUCCCAAUUCUCUCCCCUUCCUCCCAAA
Oncorhynchus mykiss (rainbow trout) is the source of this 3044-nucleotide non-coding RNA. Lineage: Eukaryota; Metazoa; Chordata; Actinopteri; Salmoniformes; Salmonidae. The record is from RefSeq and is a predicted model, not a curated record.